This 355-nucleotide ribosomal RNA is filed under the name uncultured organism. RNAcentral describes it as "bacterial LSU rRNA". It matches the Rfam family "Bacterial large subunit ribosomal RNA", at positions 2099 to 2465 of the family's 2925-position model. The record is from RNAcentral.
CUUCACUACAACUUUGCAUUGAUUUUGAAUUUUUGAUGUGUAGGAUAGUUGGGAGACUUUGAAGUGGUGUCGCUAGGCAUCAUGGAGUCGUCGUUGAAAUACCAACCUUUAAACAUUUAGAAUCUAAUCCCUAACGGGAAACAGUGCAUGGUGGGUAGUUUGACUGGGGUGGUCGCCUCCUAAAGUGUAACGGAGGCUUGCAAAGGUUCCCUCAGUACGGUUGGUAAUCGUACAUAGAGCGUAUUAGUAUAAGGGAGCUUGACUGUGAGACUUACAAGUCGAGCAGGGACGAAAGUCGGCUAAAGUGAUCCGGUGGUUCUGUAUGGAAGGGCCAUCGCUCAAAGGAUAAAAGGUA